This 460-nucleotide ribosomal RNA is filed under the name uncultured bacterium. RNAcentral's name for it is "partial 16S ribosomal RNA". It matches the Rfam family "Bacterial small subunit ribosomal RNA", at positions 338 to 795 of the family's 1533-position model. The record is from RNAcentral.
CCUACGGGUGGCUGCAGUGAGGAAUAUUGGUCAAUGGGCGGAAGCCUGAACCAGCCAAGUCGCGUGAGGGAUUAAGGCCCUAUGGGUCGUAAACCUCUUUUGUCAGGGAGCAAGGUCGUCCACGUGUGGGCGUAUGGAGAGUACCUGAAGAAAAAGCAUCGGCUAACUCCGUGCCAGCAGCCGCGGUAAUACGGAGGAUGCGAGCGUUAUCCGGAUUUAUUGGGUUUAAAGGGUGCGCAGGCGGAGGUGCAAGUCAGCGGUCAAAUUGCGGGGCUCAACCCCGUACUGCCGUUGAAACUGCAUCCCUUGAGUGCGCGAGAAGUAUGCGGAAUGCGUGGUGUAGCGGUGAAAUGCAUAGAUAUCACGCAGAACUCCGAUUGCGAAGGCAGCAUACCGGCGCGCAACUGACGCUCAUGCACGAAAGCGUGGGUAUCGAACAGGAUUAGAUACCCGGGUAGUC